RNAcentral lists this microRNA precursor (61 nucleotides) under Podarcis lilfordi (Lilford's wall lizard). Lineage: Eukaryota; Metazoa; Chordata; Lepidosauria; Squamata; Lacertidae. The record is from RNAcentral.
UGCCCAGAACUGGACACAGUACUCCAGGUGAGGUCUGGAGUACUGUGUCCAGUUCUGGGCA